AUUGAACGCUGGCGGCAGGCCUAACACAUGCAAGUCGAACGGUAACAGGAAGACGCUUGCUUCUUUGCUGACGAGUGGCGGACGGGUGAGUAAUGUCUGGGAAACUGCCUGAUGGAGGGGGAUAACUACUGGAAACGGUAGCUAAUACCGCAUAACGUCGCAAGCCCAAAGAGGGGGACCUUCUGGCCUCUUGCCAUCGGAUAUGCCCAGAUGGGAUUAGCUAGUAGGUGGGGUAACGGCUUACCUAGGCGACGAUCCGUAGCUGAUCUGAGAGUAUGACCGGCCACACUGGAACUGAGACACGGUCCAGACUCCUACGGGAGGCAGCAGUGGGGAAUAUUGCACAAUGGGCGCAAGCCUGAUGCAGCCAUGCCGCGUGUAUGAAGAAGGCCUUCGGGUCGUAAAGUACUUUCAGCGGGGAGGAAGGGAGUAAAGUGAAUACAUUCGCUGAUUGACGUUACCCGCAGAAGAAGCACCGGCUAACUACGUG
Molecule: ribosomal RNA, 490 nt
Filed under: uncultured bacterium
Lineage: Bacteria
Description: partial 16S ribosomal RNA
Rfam family: Bacterial small subunit ribosomal RNA
Source: RNAcentral